GACGAACCGAGCGAACGUUGUUCGGAAUCACUGGGCUUAAAGGGCGCGUAGGCGGUGCGGUAAGUCACCUGUGAAAUCUCCUGGCUCAACUGGGAGCUUGCAGGCGAAACUGCCGUGCUGGAGUGUGGGAGAGGUGCGUGGAAUUCCUGGUGUAGCGGUGAAAUGCGUAGAUAUCAGGAGGAACACCUGUGGCGAAAGCGGCGCACUGGACCACAACUGACGCUGAGGCGCGAAAGCUAGGGGAGCAAACAGG
This 253-nucleotide ribosomal RNA is filed under the name uncultured bacterium. Its description in RNAcentral is "partial 16S ribosomal RNA". It matches the Rfam family "Bacterial small subunit ribosomal RNA", at positions 524 to 776 of the family's 1533-position model. The record is from RNAcentral.